UCUGAUUUGGAAACCAGCUGUCAUCUCAGGAGAUCUCCAGAAAACACCUGGAGUCUGACAACCCUAACAAUGUAUUUAUUUUAUUUAUUCAAAAUAUUGAUAGCUCACUCUGCUCUCAUUGUAUGAAUUUCUGCAGAGGCUUAACACAAGACACAUUUGGAGAUGGCAGGUAUAUGAACAACAAUACAGGAAAUCAUUUGGGAUGGAACCAAAAUGCUGAAAGCUAUUUAGCAGAGUGAGAAGAGGGAGAAAAAGGUGAUGAACAAACCCUGGAGAACCCUCACCCUGCCAAGGAGCCAAGAAAAUCUUCUUCCUCCCACCUCUAACUUCUAUGCUCGAAGGAGUUACUCAAUGAGGGGGUUGGACUUGAAGGUCCUUGGGGUCGCUUCCAACUCUAUGAGUCAUCUCAUUUCCAUCUGCUCUCAAGCAUCUCUGAGAGGAUCUUGCUUUGGUCCCUUCCAAAGCAGAUGUAGUAGCCUUACACUGCUCAAAUAACAACUUGCUGGAGAUUCCUGGUCUGAAAAGUGUUCAGCUUUCCUCCACCAGAGCCACAGCCUUUUUGACCCUCCGGUACCAACCUGGUGGAAUUCUCUGUCUAGUGAGACCAAGGCUCUGUGAGAUUUAUCUUACUUCCAUAGGGCAGGGCCUAUGGUUGAGGAUAGCAACAUUUUUAUCCAUCUCAACUGGCCUCCUUCACCUCCCCUCCUCUUCUGUUUUUUUGGUUUCUGUUUAAUGUUGGAGGUAUGGGGAGGGUAUUGUGAUUCUAGUUUGUUCCUGCUUUGUGGGAUACUAUUUUAAGGUGCUAGGUCAUACUGUUACGUUGAUUUUAUUUGAAAUGAGGAUACUGAUAUUAGCUGCUCUGAGCCUGUUACAGCAGGGGAGAGUGGGUUAGAAAUCAAAUAAAUAGUACAAAAAUGCUCCCAGCACUGCAAACACCAAGAACAGUCUCUUAUUUUUACUCUGGAGAUGGGAGAAGCUUUUGCACAGCAGCUCUUUCUUGCAUUGCCACAUUUUAUUUUAUUUAUUUAUAGCCCACCUUUCUCAGAGAUUCAAAGUGGAUUAUAGGCUACACAGAUAGCAACAAUAAUUGUUUAGUAUAUGACAUUGGAUGGAUAAUGCAGUAGGACUAGAAGUACAAAAUUAAAUGACAGUAUCUACAGCCAACAGCCUGGCAUAGUGCAAGCAAUGCAGGAUCUGAGAUUACAAAGGUACAUUCAAAAAAUGCUACUGGAACAAGGCCAUACAUCCCAGAAACACCUCAACACCCCAGUGAUUCUGGCCGUGAAAGCCUUUGACAAUACAUUAUUCUUUUUAUUUUUGUCUGAAUCCCACUAAUUUAUAAAGUAACAUUCAAAUAUCAUAAGCUAGGUGUUUUUAUGCAUUCUAAUCUUGUUAUAAUGAUGCAGGAUUAUGUGAUACAUUUGUUUGUUCUAGUAUUUAAAUGCAAUCUACCACCUUUUGAGAACAAUGUUAUCUAAUCCAAUAAAAUUCAUUGCCUGU
Molecule: long non-coding RNA, 1500 nt
Organism: Sphaerodactylus townsendi
Lineage: Eukaryota; Metazoa; Chordata; Lepidosauria; Squamata; Sphaerodactylidae
Exons: 4
Source: RefSeq, a predicted model, not a curated record